This 283-nucleotide long non-coding RNA is filed under the name Gadus morhua (Atlantic cod). Its description in RNAcentral is "lncRNA (ENSGMOG00000036465.1)". The record is from RNAcentral. Lineage: Eukaryota; Metazoa; Chordata; Actinopteri; Gadiformes; Gadidae.
CUGCAGAGACAAAAUCAGACCCUUACCUUGCACUGUUGACCUAUCGGUCCUCACCUCUGGGAUCUGGAGCAUCACCCUCAGAGCUCCUCAUGAACCGAAAACUGCGCAGAAAAAGCAUCAUGACAAGACGGCCAGGAGUCUCACACCUCUCUCAGAACACGACGUGUUAUCCACCAACUGAUGACAAAUCCAGAUUGUCUAGGUGUAUGGUUACACUUUUCCCGUCACUGAAAGUCAUAAUGGAAGAUGAGAAUGAAGGCUUUGUAAGUAUUUAUUUUUGCAC